GCCAGACUCCUACGGGAGGCAGCAGUGGGGGAUAUUGGACAAUGGGGGAAACCCUGAUCCAGCGACGCCGCGUGAGUGAAGAAGUAUUUCGGUAUGUAAAGCUCUGUCAGCAGGGAAGAAAGAAAUGACGGUACCUGACCAAGAAGCCCCGGCUAACUACGUGCCAGCAGCCGCGGUAAUACGUAGGGGGCGAGCGUUAUCCGGAAUUACUGGGUGUAAAGGGAGCGUAGACGGCGAGGUAAGCCUGAAGUGGAAGCCCGCGGCCCAACCGCGGAACUGCUUUGGGAACUGUUUUGCUGGAGUAUGGGAGGGGUAAGCGGAAUUCCUGGUGUAGCGGUGAAAUGCGUAGAUAUCAGGAGGAACACCGGUGGCGAAGGCGGCUUACUGGACCAUAACUGACGUUGAGGCUCGAAAGCGUGGGGAGCGAACAGGAUUAGAUACCCGAGUA
Molecule: ribosomal RNA, 448 nt
Filed under: uncultured bacterium
Lineage: Bacteria
Description: bacterial SSU rRNA
Rfam family: Bacterial small subunit ribosomal RNA
Source: RNAcentral